RNAcentral lists this long non-coding RNA (303 nucleotides) under Gallus gallus (chicken). RNAcentral describes it as "lncRNA (ENSGALG00010002249.1)". The record is from RNAcentral. Lineage: Eukaryota; Metazoa; Chordata; Aves; Galliformes; Phasianidae.
GGGAAAUCUGUCAUUCCCAUUUUGCAUGAUCUAAUAGUGACAGGACAAAUGGGAAUGGCUUUAGACUGAAAGAGGGGAAAUUCAGGUUGGAUGUUAGGAAGAAAAUAUUUACUCAGAGGAUGGUGAGGUGCUGGCACAGCUGCCCAGAGAAGCUGUGGUGCCCCAUCCCUGGAGGCGUUCAAGGCCAGGUUGGAUGGGGCCCUGGGCAGCUGAGCUGCUGGGGGGCAGCUCUGCCCAUGGCAUGGGGUUGGAAUGGGUAGGCUUUGAGGUCCCUUCCAACCUAAACCAUUGCAUGAUUCUAUG